GACGAACGCUGGCGGCGUGCUUAACACAUGCAAGUGGAGCGACGAACCAGGCUUCGGCCUGGGGCAGAGCCGCGAACGGGUGAGUAACACGUGGGUAACCUGCCUCGAUGACCGGGACAACCCGGGGAAACCCGGGCUAAUACCGGAUGUGCUGCCUUCACAUCAGUGGAGACAGGAAAGGAAGCUUCGGCCUCCGCAUCGAGAUGGGCCCGCGGCCCAUUAGCUUGUUGGUGAGGUAAUGGCUCACCAAGGCCGCGAUGGGUAGCUGGUCUGAGAGGACGAUCAGCCACACUGGGACUGAGACACGGCCCAGACUCCUACGGGAGGCAGCAGUGGGAAUCUUGCGCAAUGCGCGAAAGCGUGACGCAGCAACGCCGCGUGGGGGAAGAAGGCCUUC
RNAcentral lists this ribosomal RNA (397 nucleotides) under uncultured bacterium. RNAcentral describes it as "bacterial SSU rRNA". It matches the Rfam family "Bacterial small subunit ribosomal RNA", at positions 28 to 419 of the family's 1533-position model. The record is from RNAcentral.